This 253-nucleotide ribosomal RNA is filed under the name uncultured bacterium. RNAcentral describes it as "partial 16S ribosomal RNA". It matches the Rfam family "Bacterial small subunit ribosomal RNA", at positions 524 to 776 of the family's 1533-position model. The record is from RNAcentral.
UACGGAGGGUGCAAGCGUUGCUCGGAAUUCUUGGGCGUAAAGGGUAGGUAGGUGGUCUUAUUUGUCUGGGGUGAAAUCCUUGAGCUUAACUCAAGAAGUGCCUCAGAAACGGUGAGACUAGAGUUCUGGAGAGGGUCGUGGAAUUCCCGGUGUAGCGGUGAAAUGCGUAGAUAUUGGGAGGAACACCAGUGGCGAAGGCGGCUCACUGGACCGGAACUGACGCUGAUGCGCGAAAGCGUGGGGAGCAAACGGG